Molecule: ribosomal RNA, 254 nt
Filed under: uncultured bacterium
Lineage: Bacteria
Description: partial 16S ribosomal RNA
Rfam family: Bacterial small subunit ribosomal RNA
Source: RNAcentral
CACGUAGGGGGCAAGCGUUGUCCGGAUUUAUUGGGCGUAAAGAGCUCGUAGGCGGUUUCGUUAGUCAGGUGUGAAAACCCCAGGCUCAACCUGGGGACGCCACCCGAUACUGCGAUGACUAGAGUCCGGUAGGGGAGUGUGGAAUUCCUGGUGUAGCGGUGAAAUGCGCAGAUAUCAGGAGGAACACCAACGGCGAAGGCAGCACUCUGGGCCGGAACUGACGCUGAGGAGCGAAAGCGUGGGUAGCGAACAGG